Molecule: long non-coding RNA, 1297 nt
Filed under: Rhinopithecus bieti (black snub-nosed monkey)
Lineage: Eukaryota; Metazoa; Chordata; Mammalia; Primates; Cercopithecidae
Description: lncRNA (ENSRBIG00000046322.1)
Source: RNAcentral
UAACCACUAGGAGUAUAGCAUCCCAGGAGGAAGAGUCCCUGAGAAGAAAGGCAUGUGUAAUAUUUUACAUUUGGUUAUUCCAUGAGAUUUCUUAAAAUAGCUUUUGCUAAUAAUGAAUAAUUCUGGAAAAAUAUGAUUUUUUACAGGUUCACAAGGGACUUAAAUCAGAACCAUCCACACCACAGGAAAAACGUGAUUGCAGCUUAAUUUUGACACCAAAGCAAAUUCAUCAAGGCCUUCUGUCCUUAACUUCAGUAAUAUUUGUGUGAACUCUCCAAAUACUCGUCUACUUCAUGUUGUUAAUAUGCUACCUAUGCAUGUUUUGCUCCAGUUAGAUACUACUUUAGAAGAACUUCGGAAGACCAACCAAUUUUCAUAUGUGAUUCCACCUACAUCCAGUACUUAUAUUUCGAUGGUAUUUGAAUCUCCCACUGUUGGAAAAUUUUGGAAGUCUUUCACCUUUACAGUGAACAACGUACCCAGUGGACACAUCCUAGUGAUGGCAGUUGUCCAGCUAGUAACACUUGAGCUAUCUUCUAAUGAGCUAGUAUUAAGACCACGAGGCUUCUUCAUGAAAACAUGUUUUCGGGGGACAGUUAGAUUGUAUAAUCAUCAGAAUUGUCGUGCUCAGUUUCAAUGGCAACCCGUAAACACAGGAAGAGGGAUAGCAUUUUCUAUUUGUCCAGCUAAAGGUAAUGGUUUAUUGUUUGUUUGAUUCAGACAUUUAUUUUUUCAUGUAUUCAUGUAUUCUGGUAGUAUUUAUCGAGUGUGUACUGUGUACUGGUACCAAGAGUACAGAAGUAAAUCAGAUACUGUCAUCAGGGGUAUUUAUUUUUACAGACAUAAUAUGAUUUGGAAAUAUGGAACCCUUAUUAGGGUUCUCCAGAGAAACAGACCAACAGGGAGAGAGAGAGACACAGAGAGAGAGAUAAAGAGAGAGACAUUUUAAGGAACUGGUUCUGGCUCACAGGUUGUGUGGUUGUGUGGGCUGGCAAGUUUGAAAUUUGCAGGGCAGGGUGGCAGACUGGAGAUACAGGGAAGAGUUGAUGGUGGAGUCUUGAGUCCAAAGGCAUUCUGGAGGCAGAAUUUAUUAUUCGUUCUGGGACAUCAGUCUUUUCUGUUAAGGCUUUCAAAUAACUGGAUGAGACCCACCCACAUUAUGAAAGGUAAUCUGCAUGUUAAUUACCUGAUUGUGAUCAUUAUUAUAUUAUGUAUGCAUAUCAAAUCAUUAUGUUGUACACCUUGAAUGUAUAUAGUCUUUGUCAAUUAACUGUUUCAAAAAGCCUGCUGAUUUAAG